RNAcentral lists this long non-coding RNA (223 nucleotides) under Hordeum vulgare. RNAcentral's name for it is "long non-coding RNA (HVUL_LNC020676)". Lineage: Eukaryota; Viridiplantae; Streptophyta; Magnoliopsida; Poales; Poaceae. The record is from RNAcentral.
AUUUAUUCGAUAAGGCUUACUGUGAAUUGUAAGGAAAUGAUAUAAAAACCAGAUACCAAAUUGUUGCAGAUACACUCAUGGUAUAAACUCUGAAACAUCAAAGUACUCAAUUGAUGAAAUUAGAAAAGCAAUACAGUUAGACUCACUUGAUAUGUUGCAGGUUAGACUCAAAUCUGAGACACGCAAAAUUGAGGUGUGAUUUGACUGUAUAGAGAUUAUGGCC